This 263-nucleotide unclassified non-coding RNA is filed under the name Hevea brasiliensis (rubber tree). Lineage: Eukaryota; Viridiplantae; Streptophyta; Magnoliopsida; Malpighiales; Euphorbiaceae. The record is from RNAcentral.
AGCAGAUUUGCAGGAAGCACAUUUGGGUGAUUUCGAUAUUAGAUUUGGGUAUUUAUUCUUUUUGUUUGGAAUUUGGUUGUGAGUUUGUAAGGGUUUUAAAUGCAUUGAUGGUUGAAUUUGGAGAACAGAGAUUAGAGAUAACAGAACACAUUAGGGAGAGAAGAGUGUAAAGGGUUUACCGUUUGCUGUGUUAGAUUUCUGUUGGCUCUCAAUUAAAAAGGGGUAUAAUGUCAACAAAUUUAAAAGUUCAAGGACUUAAAAUG